CAUGGAGGGUGAGAAUCCCGUUCAUGGUUAAUUCUAAGAUGCUUUAUGAUGCGUUUUCGAAGAGUCGAGUUGUUUGGGAUUGCAGCUCUAAAUGGGAGGUAAAUUUCUUCUAAAGCUAAAUACUGGCCAGAGACCGAUAGCGCACAAGUAGAGUGAUCGAAAGAUGAAAAGCACUUUGGAAAGAGAGUCAAACAGUACGUGAAAUUGUUGAAAGGGAAACGAUUGAAGCCAGUCGUACCGACGGGAAUUCAACUUCUCGAGUGCUAAUCGUGGGUGACGUUGAGCCUCACGGCCUUCGUUGCUUGUGUUUUUGGUGCUUUUGGGGUGUACUUUUCCGUAUUGGUAGGUCAGCAUCGAUUUCGAUCGUCAUAAAAUGAUCGGGGGAAUGUAGCUUCGGUCUCGUAUCGGAGUGUUAUAGACCUUGGUAGAUGUGACGAUUGGGAUCGAGGAUUGCAACGAAUACCCUCUGGGCUAUCCGUCUGACCUCUGAAAGUCGCUCGGGUGUCGAAAGCGUGCUUAUGGCUAUUCGAGUUGGCGGUCAAUAGGUUAGAACGUGAUUACAUUCGUUAAGGAUGUUGACGUAAUGG
RNAcentral lists this ribosomal RNA (587 nucleotides) under uncultured Glomus. RNAcentral describes it as "eukaryotic LSU rRNA". It matches the Rfam family "Eukaryotic large subunit ribosomal RNA", at positions 204 to 637 of the family's 3401-position model. Lineage: Eukaryota; Fungi; Glomeromycota; Glomeromycetes; Glomerales; Glomeraceae. The record is from RNAcentral.